RNAcentral lists this ribosomal RNA (253 nucleotides) under uncultured bacterium. Its description in RNAcentral is "partial 16S ribosomal RNA". It matches the Rfam family "Bacterial small subunit ribosomal RNA", at positions 524 to 776 of the family's 1533-position model. The record is from RNAcentral.
UACGUAGGUGGCAAGCGUUAUCCGGAUUUAUUGGGCGUAAAGGGAACGCAGGCGGUCUUUUAAGUCUGAUGUGAAAGCCUUCGGCUUAACCGGAGUAGUGCAUUGGAAACUGGGAGACUUGAGUGCAGAAGAGGAGAGUGGAACUCCAUGUGUAGCGGUGAAAUGCGUAGAUAUAUGGAGGAACACCGGUGGCGAGAGCGGCUCUCUGGCCUGUAACUGACACUGAGGCUCGAAAGCGUGGGGAGCAAACAGG